RNAcentral lists this long non-coding RNA (1150 nucleotides) under Sus scrofa (pig). Its description in RNAcentral is "lncRNA (ENSSSCG00055020682.1)". Lineage: Eukaryota; Metazoa; Chordata; Mammalia; Artiodactyla; Suidae. The record is from RNAcentral.
AAUCUGGCACAAGUAACAGGAUGUCAUUUCCUACCUGACAGGAAUUUUUCAAGAACAAAGUGAGUUACUAGAUGUGAAGUGCACGGACGGCAGCUGGCACAAAAUAAGCAUAUGUUGUGAUGUUUGCAAUAUCCGGCAGGUUUUCUCUCUGCAACAGCCCUAAAAUUUCUCUCCAAAUUGGCUGCAUUGGUAAAGCGCAACCAAAAACAUUUCCCUUUGGCUGUGGAGGCAAAGGGUGCGUUGUCGUCAUCAGGCUGCUGAGGCCGUCACAGAUUUUCACUCACUGCGGCUAAUCACACAAAACUUAAAACAACCAUGUGGCAUCCUAGUUCCAUAAAGCUUCAGACAUCAGCUAUCAGAUCCUGCCAAGGUACAGCAACACUUCUUUAAAAGAGUUCAUCAUGCAUAUUCCAAAACCAUAUAGAAGAAUAAUCUACUCUUGGAUAAACUGAAUGCAUUUCCCAAAUACACAGGCACUUCAUUCCUGGAAUUCAAUGACAAACAAAACCCCAAACUAAAGUAAACUCAAGAGUUGGUCAUCACUCCUUCCCUUCUGCCCAUCAAGACGGAUGGAUUAUAACCUUUCCUGCUCCAUUCUAAACAGCCUGAGACCUUGGACUCCAGCAGCCCCAGGCCACAGCAGAAUGCCUUGGGAGAGGCAGGCAAUUAACUAAUGAAUUAUUAACAAUUAAAAACUGAAUUCUUAACAAUGAACUUUCAGGCUAGUGAGGGCGAUUGCUAUUUUCUUCCAUUCUCUCCACUUUUUGGAGCAAGGGUGGGGCCUCAAAGUGCUUCCUGCAAGGUCCUUCAGAAAGUGACUCCUCUUCACAGCAAAUGCAGCAUUUGCCAGGCCCACCCUAAGCUCUGACCAUGCAGCCAUUCUCUCCCUCCCCACCCGAUCCAUCCUCUGAGGUCGGUAUCAUUUUUAUCCCCACUUUACAGAGGAGGAAACGGAAGCACCUAGAGCAGCACAGGUUCAGGUGUGUGCUCUGAUUGUGCACUGAGUCGUGUCCCUAAGCAUGGGUGAUGGCUGGCCGGCUACAGGAAGAGGGGUGUGGCUGCCCGCGUAGCGGAAGCAGCAGGAACAGAAGCACCGGGUCCAUUCGAGGGAAUGAAGGCGCGCCCGAGCACUGGGCCACGGAAGUGUGUG